CGGGCACAUAAUCUGGAACCCUGCCUUCGAAAUAAUUACCAGACAGAUCAACAUAACGGAACCUUCUCAGUAUAGGUUUGAGAAUUCCAUAAAACGAAUUCCCAUUCAGUACCGCAGAAAUGGCAUUAGCAUUCAAGGUAGUAUUCGGCAAGAAACCAGAGAAAUUGUUGGCAGAGAUAUCAAGAAGGCGCAAUCCGGGC
This 200-nucleotide unclassified non-coding RNA is filed under the name Hevea brasiliensis (rubber tree). Lineage: Eukaryota; Viridiplantae; Streptophyta; Magnoliopsida; Malpighiales; Euphorbiaceae. The record is from RNAcentral.